UAUAUAGAGUCCGGCUACUAUACUAUCGAUAGUACCAAGCCCUUGAUACUAUUGAGUUUUCUACCGUUAGAUCUACCAUUUGAUCAUUUCCACCCGUUAGAUCAUACUAUUAAACCAACCACCCACUCAACCCUAGGGGACCACUACCACUAUCAAUUGAACCGGGGACUGCUGUCAUCCUAACCGCACAUCCUUUCAUCCAACGUUCGAAAACUCAAUAGUACCAAGUGCUUGAUAUUAUUGAUAGUAUAGUAGCAUAAUUCUAUAUAUAUAUAUAUAUAUAUAUAUAUUUAGGCUACUAUGCUAUCUAUAGUACGGGAGCUCCCGUACUAUAGUGUUGUUUUCGAACUUAGGGCGUUCAAAUCAACAAUCCACAUCGUUAAAUAUGAUCUAGGAUAUAUGAAGUUCUUAGUAAUAAAAUUUUAGUUCUUUUCGAUAUCGUUUACUUAGUAAAUAAAUUAUGUCAAAAUGGACGGUGGGAAUUGAAUACUCUUUAAAAUUUGAGUAUAGGACUUUUAAAUUCAAGAUCAAGAAUGUUAACCUUAAUCUAUAUAGUUUAAAGAAUUUUCUAUCAAAAUUUGAAGAAAUCUAGAUUCUUCUACACCGUUAAACUCCAAACUCGUCAUAAUAGCUGUUGAAAUUUGACAAUUUUGAAAUAUUUUGAUCAUAAAGUAAACUAUGUCGAAAAAAUAUAAAAUUUUAUUUCUAAAAACUUUAAAU
This 720-nucleotide long non-coding RNA is filed under the name Ananas comosus (pineapple). RNAcentral's name for it is "long non-coding RNA (ACOM_LNC040303)". The record is from RNAcentral. Lineage: Eukaryota; Viridiplantae; Streptophyta; Magnoliopsida; Poales; Bromeliaceae.